Molecule: long non-coding RNA, 370 nt
Organism: Populus nigra (black poplar)
Lineage: Eukaryota; Viridiplantae; Streptophyta; Magnoliopsida; Malpighiales; Salicaceae
Exons: 2
Source: RefSeq, a predicted model, not a curated record
UUGAGUUGCAGGUCCGGCUUGCUGCUAAUAGCUGUGUGACCAAAGACAUUAGAGAGCCUGGGGAUUAUGGUGGCUUCCCUGCAGUUCCAAUUCAUGAAUGGCGAAGACAAGUUGCUAGUCGCUACCGGAUUUCAAAGAAGGCUAUUCUAUAGAGCUGUUUGGAAUUGAAAUCAUAUAUACAGCUAAAAUGGUUAGGACUCUUCUCCCAAAUGAUUGUAUUCUGAGAAUAACGGUUUGUGAAAGGUUAUUUGAGAACUUUUACAAGACUUGCAGCGUCUUGAGAAUUUUAAUCUGUGGUGCUCAAGAAAAAAUAGUGAUACUGAUUUUGGAAAAAUUUUUUUAUUAAUGUCCCACAAAACAUUCCUGGUUA